RNAcentral lists this ribosomal RNA (299 nucleotides) under uncultured bacterium. RNAcentral describes it as "partial 16S ribosomal RNA". It matches the Rfam family "Bacterial small subunit ribosomal RNA", at positions 28 to 324 of the family's 1533-position model. The record is from RNAcentral.
GAUGAACGCUAGCGGCAGGCCUAAUACAUGCAAGCCGAACGGCAAGAACUUUAGCAAUAGAGUUCCUAGAGUGGCGUAAGGGUGCGUAACACGUAUGCAAUCUGCCCGCAACAGGAGGAUAGCUCCCCGAAAGGGGAAUUAAGACUCCAUAAGAUCACAGGAAGGCAUCUGAGAGUGAUUAAACUACCAGGGGUUGCGGAUGAGCAUGCGCAUGAUUAGUUAGUUGGCGGGGUAACGGCCCACCAAGACGAUGAUCAUUAGGGGAACUGAGAGGUUGAUCCCCCACACUGGCACUGAGA